This is a long non-coding RNA of Xyrauchen texanus (razorback sucker), 2225 nucleotides long. RefSeq lists it as uncharacterized. Lineage: Eukaryota; Metazoa; Chordata; Actinopteri; Cypriniformes; Catostomidae. The transcript has 5 exons. The record is from RefSeq and is a predicted model, not a curated record.
CGCAACGUUUCACAAUCAACGUUUAGUCCUUGUGGACACAGAGAGUUUUGGAGUUCUAGAGUCCUACAUGUGGCUGUGCAGAGAUUGUGGCUCAUCUCACAUAUCAAGAUCAAAGCUUUUAAAACACUUCAGGUAUCUGCAGAAUUCAGUAGGAUUGCAGCUAUCCCUUUGGUGUCCAAAUUUAUGGGUCAGCUGGAUCAUUUCUCAACCCAGCUCAGAAUCUUCAGAAAGAAAGGAGGAACAGCAACACAGAAGAUGACAAACAUCCUCUCAGUUAUGGAUCAGAAUGACACAACGAAAAAAAACGUGAAUGCAUCUCGAAAGCCCUUACUGUUUACAUGAACGAAGACCCCUCAAACCUUGUGAAGGAGUACUUGGACGUUGAAUAGGGCUGGGACGACGCGUCGACGUAAUCGAUGACGUCGACGCAAAAAAUAAGUCGACGCAAAAUAUGCGCGUCGAUUCGUCAGACCAAAACAAAGAUGGCGGCGCCGGAGAGUAGAAGCAAAACGAGUGGCUCCUCAGACUACCAGAAGUGCAAGGCGGCACGCACUCGUUCAUCUAAAGUGUGGGAAUUCUUUAAUUUAAAAGGAAAAAAUUAUGUGAUAUGUCGUCUUUGCAAAAUGGAGAUGGCUUUCCAUUCUAGCACCACGGCAAUGCACCAGCACUAGGGCUGGGAUGACGUCGACGCAAAAAAUACGUCGACGCAAAAUAUGUGCGUCGAAUUGUCAGACCCAAAACAAAGAUGGCGACGCCGGCGCCAACACGAGUGGCUCCUCAGACUAUCAGAAGUGCAAGGCGGCAUGCACUCGUUCCUCUAUAGUGUGGGAAUUAUUUAAUUUUAAAGGAAAAAAUUCCGUGAUAUGUCAUCUUUGCAAAAUGGAGAUGGCCUUCCAUUCUAGCGCCACCCGGGAGCAGCCGCAGAUGACAGAGCGCCGUAAGUUUUUUUUUCAACUCCCCACUUUGCACUCGAUGUUGGAGUAGGCUAUAAUACGUUGUCGACACAUAACGUUUUCGCUUAUAGCUAUUAAUAAUGCGCUUAUAGCUAUGAAUGUCGUGAAAAAUACAUUGAGGACACUGACAACGCGCUGACAGACAGGACCAAGCAGGUAACAUUUAAUAAAGUCUCAACUUUCAAAUUUGGUCAUUCAAAGAAAAUUAAACCAUAAAUAGGCCUACUAUUUUGUGGCUCUUUAAUGUGUCGUGACAGAUUGCCUCAGUUAAAGCUGCUCGUGAACCGAUCAUCUUUUCCUUGUUAAUUUAUAGCGUCAAAUAUGCUAAACAUGAAUGUAGCCUACAUCAGAAGGACUGUUGUUUUAACCGCAGAAAGACAUCAGUACAGUAGCCUACAAUCCAUUAUUCAAAUUCAAAUCCACCGACGUUAAUCUUCUCUCUCCUGACUACUUUGUCGGACAAAAAUGGCGUAUUAUGAUUGAUUGAUCAGAUCGCCAGUCAAUCAAACUCCCGGCAAAUGUUUUUUUUUUUUUUUUACAUUUUAUACACCCCCACCCCCGAUGAAACAGGUAUUACCGGUGUUGUCACAAGUCGAUUAAUCGAAUCGAAAUGGAAUCGGACUGAAAAAAUGAAUCGUUAGAUUAAUCGAUGCAUCAAAAAAAUAAUCGCUAGAUUAAUCGUUUAAAAAAUAAUCGUUUAUCCCAGCCCUAACGUUGAACAUGAUGAAGGUCAAACUUCAGUGCGAAACACCACCCAUUUAUGUCUUCGUACAUGAAGGGGCAGAUGCUACAGACCAUUACCAAGAUGUUGGCAUUAUCAUUUAAGCCGUCCAAAUACUUGAAGACCUGAACAAUGUGGCAAAUGCUUGUUCUAUGAUGCUUGGUCUAAUUUACACUUUAAACUUGGCUUACCCACAAGACCUGAGGUACACUUUUGAAGUAUUUCAAAAGAUUUUUAUGGAGCUAGAUGCAAACAAGCUGUCAAACAAGGUCCAGGUCCUGAAAAAUAAACUCCUUUCAGAAACGCUGUAACUUGAGGUCAGGACCAAGAGCCAGGACUUAUGUUUUCUCCAUAAUGUUGCACUGUUGUUUGGCUGUUGCAGUACAUAUAUUGAUGUACAUAAUACUGUUUUUUUUAUUUUUUUUUAUUUUUGUUGUUGUGCAAUUAAAAGGAGGCACAAGAAGCAAAAGAAGACUGCUAUUAUUUUUCAAGUAUAACACUUGUAUGUGUAUAUUUUAUAAAUCCUUUAAUUUAAAGACAGCAUGCUUUUA